RNAcentral lists this ribosomal RNA (1068 nucleotides) under Salmonella enterica subsp. enterica serovar Cerro. Its description in RNAcentral is "partial 23S ribosomal RNA". It matches the Rfam family "Bacterial large subunit ribosomal RNA", at positions 690 to 1756 of the family's 2925-position model. Lineage: Bacteria; Pseudomonadati; Pseudomonadota; Gammaproteobacteria; Enterobacterales; Enterobacteriaceae. The record is from RNAcentral.
GGGCGUUAAGUUGCAGGGUAUAGACCCGAAACCCGGUGAUCUAGCCAUGGGCAGGUUGAAGGUUGGGUAACACUAACUGGAGGACCGAACCGACUAAUGUUGAAAAAUUAGCGGAUGACCUGUGGCUGGGGGUGAAAGGCCAAUCAAACCGGGAGAUAGCUGGUUCUCCCCGAAAGCUAUUUAGGUAGCGCCUCGUGAAUUCAUCUCCGGGGGUAGAGCACUGUUUCGGCUAGGGGGCCAUCCCGGCUUACCAACCCGAUGCAAACUGCGAAUACCGGAGAAUGUUAUCACGGGAGACACACGGCGGGUGCUAACGUCCGUCGUGAAGAGGGAAACAACCCAGACCGCCAGCUAAGGUCCCAAAGUCAUGGUUAAGUGGGAAACGAUGUGGGAAGGCCCAGACAGCCAGGAUGUUGGCUUAGAAGCAGCCAUCAUUUAAAGAAAGCGUAAUAGCUCACUGGUCGAGUCGGCCUGCGCGGAAGAUGUAACGGGGCUAAACCAUGCACCGAAGCUGCGGCAGCGACACUGUGUGUUGUUGGGUAGGGGAGCGUUCUGUAAGCCUGCGAAGGUGGCCUGUGAGGGUUGCUGGAGGUAUCAGAAGUGCGAAUGCUGACAUAAGUAACGAUAAAGCGGGUGAAAAGCCCGCUCGCCGGAAGACCAAGGGUUCCUGUCCAACGUUAAUCGGGGCAGGGUGAGUCGACCCCUAAGGCGAGGCCGAAAGGCGUAGUCGAUGGGAAACGGGUUAAUAUUCCCGUACUUGGUGUUACUGCGAAGGGGGGACGGAGAAGGCUAUGUUGGCCGGGCGACGGUUGUCCCGGUUUAAGCGUGUAGGUGUGUGUUCCAGGUAAAUCCGGUUCACUUUAACACUGAGGCGUGAUGACGAGGCACUACGGUGCUGAAGCAACAAAUGCCCUGCUUCCAGGAAAAGCCUCUAAGCAUCAGGUAACAUCAAAUCGUACCCCAAACCGACACAGGUGGUCAGGUAGAGAAUACCAAGGCGCUUGAGAGAACUCGGGUGAAGGAACUAGGCAAAAUGGUGCCGUAACUUCGGGAGAAGGCACGCUGACA